RNAcentral lists this long non-coding RNA (231 nucleotides) under Elaeis guineensis (African oil palm). RNAcentral's name for it is "long non-coding RNA (EGUI_LNC043577)". Lineage: Eukaryota; Viridiplantae; Streptophyta; Magnoliopsida; Arecales; Arecaceae. The record is from RNAcentral.
UAGAUUGAGAGUUGUCGUGGAAGCCUAAUUGUUCUUUGUUAACUCUAUCAUUUAUUCUAUAGACCUUUUAUGCAAUCCAUUGUUUAGCGGCCAUCAUUUUGGGCUAUCAAGAGAGUGGAGAUGGUGGAGCAUAAGAUUCACAAGAUAGAGUGAGGGAGAGCUAUGACUAAGUGAGAUCAUGCUAUUGCCUAGGAUGCCAAAGAGAGCACCAAGAAAACAGACUCAUAUCGC